This 189-nucleotide small nuclear RNA is filed under the name Chelydra serpentina (North American snapping turtle). RNAcentral's name for it is "U2 spliceosomal RNA (ENSCSRG00000002887.1)". It matches the Rfam family "U2 spliceosomal RNA". From Rfam's summary of the family: U2 is a small nuclear RNA (snRNA) component of the spliceosome (involved in pre-mRNA splicing). Complementary binding between U2 snRNA (in an area lying towards the 5' end but 3' to hairpin I) and the branchpoint sequence (BPS) of the intron results the bulging out of an unpaired adenosine, on the BPS, which initiates a nucleophilic attack at the intronic 5' splice site, thus starting the first of two transesterification reactions that mediate splicing. Lineage: Eukaryota; Metazoa; Chordata; Testudines; Chelydridae. The record is from Rfam by way of RNAcentral.
AUUUUUUUUUUCUGUCUCCCUAUCAAAAGUGUAGUGUCUGUUCUUAUCAGUUUGAUCACUGAUAGGUCCUUUAUGUAAGGAUCGUGUGUUACUUUGGUUUUUGGAGCAGGGGUUUGGGCUUGGAGCUUGCUUCGUCCACCCCAUGCAUCGACCUGGUAUUGCAGUGUUUCCAGGAGAAAAAAAAUAAAA